This 253-nucleotide ribosomal RNA is filed under the name uncultured bacterium. RNAcentral's name for it is "partial 16S ribosomal RNA". It matches the Rfam family "Bacterial small subunit ribosomal RNA", at positions 524 to 776 of the family's 1533-position model. The record is from RNAcentral.
UACGUAGGGGGCAAGCGUUGUCCGGAUUUAUUGGGCGUAAAGCGCGUGUAGGCGGCCUGGUAGGUCCGCUGUGAAAACUGGAGGCUCAACCUCCAGCGGUCGAUGGAAACCAUCUGGCUAGAGUCCGGAAGAGGAGAGUGGAAUUCCUGGUGUAGCGGUGAAAUGUGCAGAUAUCGUGUGGAACGCCAAAGGUGAAAACAGACAGCUGGGAGUGUGCUGACGCUGAGACACGAAAGGCAGGGGAGCGAACGGG